Molecule: unclassified non-coding RNA, 236 nt
Filed under: plant metagenome
Description: partial contains small subunit ribosomal RNA and internal transcribed spacer 1
Rfam family: Eukaryotic small subunit ribosomal RNA (bases 1-46)
Source: RNAcentral
CAGUCGUAACAAGGUUUCCGUAGGUGAACCUGCGGAAGGAUCAUUAAAAGUGAUGGUUAUACAUUUCAUGUAGUCAACUGCAUUAACCCAUUCCGAGUACUUGCCGUUGCUUCCAUGGGGCCUGACCUAGGGUCACUUUUGUGAUGUGAAAGCCCAAGAGGAGUCCCCUGGGAGGUAUCUUAAAAUUCAUGAUAUCCAAUGUCUUCUGUCUGAACUGUUUAUAACAAAUGUUAAAA